Molecule: ribosomal RNA, 425 nt
Filed under: uncultured bacterium
Lineage: Bacteria
Description: partial 16S ribosomal RNA
Rfam family: Bacterial small subunit ribosomal RNA
Source: RNAcentral
GUGGGGAAUCUUGCGCAAUGGGCGAAAGCCUGACGCAGCCAUGCCGCGUGGAUGAUGAAGGUCUUAGGAUUGUAAAAUCCUUUCACCGGUGAAGAUAAUGACUGUAGCCGGAGAAGAAGCCCCGGCUAACUUCGUGCCAGCAGCCGCGGUAAUACGAAGGGGGCUAGCGUUGCUCGGAUUUACUGGGCGUAAAGGGCGCGUAGGCGGACAUUUAAGUCAGGGGUGAAAUCCCGGGGCUCAACCUCGGAACUGACUUUGAUACUGUGUGUCUUGGGUAUGAGAGAGGUGUGUGGAACUCCGGGUGUAGAGGUGAAAUUCGUAGAUAUUCGGAAGAACACCAGUGGCGAAGGCGGCUCACUGGCUCGAUACUGACGCUGAGGUGCGAAAGCGUGGGGAGCAAACAGGAUUAGAAACCCGUGUAGUCC